RNAcentral lists this ribosomal RNA (486 nucleotides) under uncultured bacterium. RNAcentral describes it as "bacterial SSU rRNA". It matches the Rfam family "Bacterial small subunit ribosomal RNA", at positions 38 to 518 of the family's 1533-position model. The record is from RNAcentral.
GGCGGCGUGCUUAACACAUGCAAGUCGAACGAAGCAUUUGUGAAGGAGGCUUCGGCCAAUGGAUCAAAUGACUUAGUGGCGGACGGGUGAGUAACGCGUGAGCAACCUGCCUUUCAGACGGGGGAUAACGUUUGGAAACGAACGCUAAUACCGCAUGACAUAGCGUUUAUCGCAUGGUAGGGCUAUCAAAGGAGCAAUCCGCUGAAAGAUGGGCUCGCGUCCGAUUAGAUAGUUGGUGGGGUAACGGCCUACCAAGUCGACGAUCGGUAGCCGGACUGAGAGGUUGAACGGCCACAUUGGGACUGAGACACGGCCCAGACUCCUACGGGAGGCAGCAGUGGGGAAUAUUGCACAAUGGGCGCAAGCCUGAUUGCAGCAACGCCGCGUGAGGGAAGACGGUUUUCGGAUUGUAAACCUCUGUCCUUGGUGACGAAGAAUGACGGUAGCCAAGGAGGAAGCCACGGCUAACUACGUGCCAGCCGCAGC